CGGUAGAGCGAGAUAGACAAAGACACAGAGAAAGAGAGAGAGAGAGAAGGAGGAGGGACGCUGUCAUCACGUACAGCCGCGGAGAGAAGGGGAAGGGCGGGGGUGAGCCUCAGCCGGUGUCUGUCUGCAGCAGCGGCCAUGCUGCCUGUCUCGGUGCAUCCCGGUCCUCCGCCGGUGUAGCCUCCCUCCUGCAUCCCCGUAUCCCAGGUCAACGGACGGACCCGGAUCGGCUCGGCUCGGUCGGAGCGGUUCAGCCCGCCAUAGCAGACCGGAGCAGACCGGAACCAGAGCACCGAGGAGGGUAAAGAGGAGAAACGCUCCAUAGCAACAAACCGGUUCCACGGCAUUAUCGUGAUGGAGGGAUGGUGAGGACACUAAAAGAGAAAUUGUGAAUGAGACAUAAAUCCCAAAUCAAGCAGGAUUAGAGGGACUGCAAGGCAUUGGCCCAGAUCUGAACCUGGAGUCGAUUGAACGGGUUGUCUGAGGUCUCCUCAUCAAAGUACAGAUUUCAAAGCCAGAUCACUGACGUUACAGCUGAGUUCCUGACACUGCAGCUACAACCCCGAACCUAUUGACCAGUGG
This is a long non-coding RNA of Oreochromis aureus, 582 nucleotides long. The record is from Ensembl. NCBI's taxonomy places the organism in Eukaryota, Metazoa, Chordata, Actinopteri, Cichliformes, Cichlidae.